This 350-nucleotide ribosomal RNA is filed under the name Abiotrophia defectiva. RNAcentral describes it as "bacterial SSU rRNA". It matches the Rfam family "Bacterial small subunit ribosomal RNA", at positions 154 to 489 of the family's 1533-position model. The record is from RNAcentral. Lineage: Bacteria; Bacillati; Bacillota; Bacilli; Lactobacillales; Aerococcaceae.
AAACGACUGCUAAUUCCGCAUAGGACAUAGGAUCACAUGAUCCAGUGAGGAAAAGGUGGCGCAAGCUAUCGCUGAGAGAUGGACCCCGCGGUGCAUUAGCUAGUUGGUAGGGUAAAGGCCUACCAAGGCGAUGAUGCAUAGCCGACCUGAGAGGGUGAUCGGCCACAUUGGGACUGAGACACGGCCCAAACUCCUACGGGAGGCAGCAGUAGGGAAUCUUCCGCAAUGGACGCAAGUCUGACGGAGCAACGCCGCGUGAGUGAAGAAGGUCUUCGGAUCGUAAAGCUCUGUUGUUAGAGAAGAACAGCGCAUAGAGUAGCUGCUAUGCGUGUGACGUAUCUAACCAAAAG